UGGGGAAUUUUGGACAAUGGGCGCAAGCCUGAUCCAGCCAUGCCGCGUGCGGGAAGAAGGCCUUCGGGUUGCAAACCGCUUUGUCAGGGAAGAAAUCUUCUGAGUUAAUACCUCGGGGAGGAUGACGGUACCUGAAGAAUAAGCACCGGCUAACUACGUGCCAGCAGCCGCGGUAAAUACGUAGGGUGCAAGCGUUAAUCGGAAUUACUGGGGCGUAAAGCGUGCGCAGGCGGUUUUGUAAGACAGAGGUGAAAAUCCCCGGGCUCAACCUGGGAACUGCCUUUGUGACUGCAAGGCUUGAGUGCGGCAGAGGGGGGAUGGAAUUCCGCGUGUAGCAGUGAAAUGCGUAGAUAUGCGGAGGAACACCGAUGGCGAAGGCAAUCCCCUGGGCCUGCACUGACGCUCAUGCACGAAAAGCGUGGGGGAGCAAAACAGGAUUAGAUCCCUGGUAGUCCACGCCCUAAAACGAUGUCAACU
This 477-nucleotide ribosomal RNA is filed under the name uncultured bacterium. RNAcentral's name for it is "partial 16S ribosomal RNA". It matches the Rfam family "Bacterial small subunit ribosomal RNA", at positions 355 to 817 of the family's 1533-position model. The record is from RNAcentral.